UUGUGCAUUUCAGUCAUUCUACAAGAAAAAUGUAAAAUCAUCACAUAAAACUAAAGUUCUUUCAAAAUAUGCAGCUGCAAAGUGUUAAAUAAUGUGUGCUUAAUUAAAUUUAUAAAUAAUAAUUAUAAGUUUUGCCGGAAAAAAACAACUAAUUAAUCAAUUUUCUUAUGCAAAUUGCGUUGCAUUGCAAAAUAACGGAGUGUUGUGCAUUGUUGUUGUCGUUUCAUUUGUUUCGGUGCUUUGUUUUUGUGUCGCGACGACUUAACGUGUGUGUUCGUACGUGUGUGCAAAAGUGGCGUGUUGUUUGAACAUGAGAGAUGCACUCUCAGAGAAGCUGAGUGUGAGUUAAAUAAAUGCAGUAUGAGAGUACGGGAGUGUGUAAUUUUGUUGUUGGAGAUAUGAAGUGUUGAAUAACGAGGCAAUUUAGGCAAAUUAUUUACGCAUUUGCAGUGGAUUAAAGAUAUGUUUUGUGUCGAACUUUAAAAGUCAUAAAUAAUGUCGGGUGUUUGCCGAAAUGUCGGGUGCGUGGCCGAAAUUUCUGAUGUGGAACUUUUUAUUUUAUCAUUGAGAUACAAACUUCUACGCGAUGUUUGCAGAUAUGAACUCUUUAAAUUAUCUAUUUUCUCAAUUAAAGAAAAUGGGUUUCCAGACUUCCCCCUGAAAAAUGUAUGCGUCCAGAAACAAGGUAUCCACCUUAAUUUUGCGAAGCAAAGUGCGUCAAUAGCCUUGGAUAGUAACGGCACAAAAGGAAACUUCAAAAAAUAUGUAGAUAUCAGUUUUUUAUAAUUAAUUUCGACCAACUCUUUUUUUGCCCACAAUCACAUUAAU
Musca domestica (house fly) is the source of this 828-nucleotide long non-coding RNA. RefSeq lists it as uncharacterized. The transcript is spliced from 5 exons. The record is from RefSeq and is a predicted model, not a curated record. Lineage: Eukaryota; Metazoa; Arthropoda; Insecta; Diptera; Muscidae.